This 106-nucleotide small nuclear RNA is filed under the name Carlito syrichta (Philippine tarsier). Lineage: Eukaryota; Metazoa; Chordata; Mammalia; Primates; Tarsiidae. The record is from RNAcentral.
AUGCUCACUUUGGCAGCACAUAUACUAAAAUUGGAAUGAUACAGUGAAGAUUAGCAUGGUCCCUACACAAAGAUGACAUCAAAUUCAUGAAGUAUCCCAUAUUUUU